This 207-nucleotide ribosomal RNA is filed under the name uncultured bacterium. RNAcentral describes it as "partial 16S ribosomal RNA". It matches the Rfam family "Bacterial small subunit ribosomal RNA", at positions 568 to 774 of the family's 1533-position model. The record is from RNAcentral.
CGCGUAGGCGGCUUUGUAAGUCAAGUGUGAAAUCCCGGGGCUCAACCUCGGAAGUGCACUUGAAACUACAUGGCUUGAGUAUGGGGGAGGGAAGUGGAAUUCCUGGUGUAGAGGUGAAAUUCGUAGAUAUCAGGAGGAACACCGGUGGCGAAGGCGACUUCCUGGACCAAUACUGACGCUGAGGCGCGAAGGCGUGGGGAGCAAACA